UAGGGAAUCUUCCACAAUGGGCGCAAGCCUGAUGGAGCAACGCCGCGUGAGUGAAGAAGGGUUUCGGCUCGUAAAGCUCUGUUGUUAAAGAAGAACGUGGGUAAGAGUAACUGUUUACCCAGUGACGGUAUUUAACCAGAAAGCCACGGCUAACUACGUGCUAG
RNAcentral lists this ribosomal RNA (164 nucleotides) under uncultured bacterium. RNAcentral's name for it is "partial 16S ribosomal RNA". It matches the Rfam family "Bacterial small subunit ribosomal RNA", at positions 355 to 511 of the family's 1533-position model. The record is from RNAcentral.